Molecule: transfer RNA, 56 nt
Filed under: Trichuris discolor
Lineage: Eukaryota; Metazoa; Nematoda; Enoplea; Trichinellida; Trichuridae
Description: tRNA-His
Source: RNAcentral
AUCGUCAUAGUUUAAACAAAAACAUUGAAUUGUGAUUUCAAAAUUUAAGAUGAUAA